CUAGGUGGUUUUUUCGAUGAAGGU
This 24-nucleotide microRNA is filed under the name Oikopleura dioica. Its description in RNAcentral is "odi-miR-1486". The record is from miRBase by way of RNAcentral. Lineage: Eukaryota; Metazoa; Chordata; Appendicularia; Copelata; Oikopleuridae.